This 84-nucleotide small nucleolar RNA is filed under the name Marmota monax (woodchuck). RNAcentral's name for it is "Small nucleolar RNA SNORA40". It matches the Rfam family "Small nucleolar RNA SNORA40". From Rfam's summary of the family: The snoRNA ACA 40 belongs to the H/ACA family of snoRNAs and guides the pseudouridylation of 28S rRNA subunit at position U4565. NB This family has a high threshold value to exclude a large number of closely related sequences that do not appear to have conserved H and ACA boxes, and may be pseudogenes. The record is from Rfam by way of RNAcentral. Lineage: Eukaryota; Metazoa; Chordata; Mammalia; Rodentia; Sciuridae.
CUGUAAGACAGGNAAAUAAAUCCUCUUUUGCAACCCAGAACUCAUUGUUCAGUAUGAGUUUUGAUAAAUAUAAGUAGGUAUAUU